AUUGAACGCUGGCGGCAUGCCUUACACAUGCAAGUCGAACGGCAGCACGGGUGCUUGCACCUGGUGGCGAGUGGCGAACGGGUGAGUAAUACAUCGGAACAUGUCCUGUAGUGGGGGAUAGCCCGGCGAAAGCCGGAUUAAUACCGCAUACGAUCUACGGAUGAAAGCGGGGGACCUUCGGGCCUCGCGCUAUAGGGUUGGCCGAUGGCUGAUUAGCUAGUUGGUGGGGUAAAGGCCUACCAAGGCGACGAUCAGUAGCUGGUCAGAGAGGACGACCAGCCACACUGGGACUGAGACACGGCCCAGACUCCUACGGGAGGCAGCAGUGGGGAAUUUUGGACAAUGGGCGAAAGCCUGAUCCAGCAAUGCCGCGUGUGUGAAGAAGGCCUUCGGGUUGUAAAGCACUUUUGUCCGGAAAGAAAUCCUUGGCCCUAAUACGGUCGGGGGAUGACGGUACCGGAAGAAUAAGCACCGGCUAACUACGUG
Molecule: ribosomal RNA, 486 nt
Filed under: uncultured bacterium
Lineage: Bacteria
Description: partial 16S ribosomal RNA
Rfam family: Bacterial small subunit ribosomal RNA
Source: RNAcentral